GGCGAACGGGUGAGUAACACGUGGGUGAUCUGCCUUGCACUUCGGGAUAAGCCUGGGAAACUGGGUCUAAUACCGGAUAGGACCAUGCUUUAGUGUGUGUGGUGGAAAGUUUUUCGGUGCGAGAUGAGCCCGCGGCCUAUCAGCUUGUUGGUGGGGUAAUGGCCUACCAAGGCGACGACGGGUAGCCGGCCUGAGAGGGUGUACGGCCACAUUGGGACUGAGACACGGCCCAG
This 233-nucleotide ribosomal RNA is filed under the name uncultured Actinomycetales bacterium. Its description in RNAcentral is "partial 16S ribosomal RNA". It matches the Rfam family "Bacterial small subunit ribosomal RNA", at positions 97 to 334 of the family's 1533-position model. Lineage: Bacteria; Bacillati; Actinomycetota; Actinomycetes; Actinomycetales. The record is from RNAcentral.